This 497-nucleotide ribosomal RNA is filed under the name uncultured bacterium. RNAcentral describes it as "partial 16S ribosomal RNA". It matches the Rfam family "Bacterial small subunit ribosomal RNA", at positions 28 to 507 of the family's 1533-position model. The record is from RNAcentral.
GAUGAACGCUGGCGGCGUGCCUAAUACAUGCAAGUCGAGCGAACAGACGAGGAGCUUGCUCCUCUGACGUUAGCGGCGGACGGGUGAGUAACACGUGGAUAACCUACCUAUAAGACUGGGAUAACUUCGGGAAACCGGAGCUAAUACCGGAUAAUAUAUUGAACCGCAUGGUUCAAUAGUGAAAGACGGUUUUGCUGUCACUUAUAGAUGGAUCCGCGCCGCAUUAGCUAGUUGGUAAGGUAACGGCUUACCAAGGCAACGAUGCGUAGCCGACCUGAGAGGGUGGUCGGCCACACUGGAACUGAGGCACGGUCCAGACACCGACGGGAGGCAGCAGUAGGGAAUCUUCCGCGAUGGGCGAAAGCUUGACGGAGCAACGCCGCGUGAGUGAUGAAGGUCUUCGGAUCGUAAAACUCUGUUAUUAGGGAAGAACAAAUGUGUAAGUAACUAGGAACGUCUUGACGGUACCUAAUCAGAAAGCCACGGCUAACUACGUG